GACGAACGCUGGCGGUGUGCUUAACACAUGCAAGUCGAACGGAAAGGCCCUGCUUUUGUGGGGUGCUCGAGUGGCGAACGGGUGAGUAACACGUGAGUAACCUGCCCUUGACUUUGGGAUAACUUCAGGAAACUGGGGCUAAUACCGUAUAGGAGCUCCUGCUGCAUGGUGGGGGUUGGAAAGUUUCGGCGGGUGGGGAUGGACGCGCGGCUUAUCAGCUUGUUGGUGGGGUAGGGGCUUACCAAGGCUUUGACGGGUAGCCGGCCUGAGAGGGUGACCGGCCACAUUGGGACUGCGCUACGGCCCAGUCUCCUACGGGGGGCAGCAGUGGGGAAUAUUGCACAAUGGGCGGACGCCUGAUGCAGAAACGCCGCGUGCGGGAUGACGGCCUUCGGGUUGUAAACCGCUUUCGCCUGUGACGAAGCGUGAGUGACGGUAAUGGGUAAAGAAGCACCGGCUAACUACGUG
This 468-nucleotide ribosomal RNA is filed under the name uncultured bacterium. RNAcentral's name for it is "partial 16S ribosomal RNA". It matches the Rfam family "Bacterial small subunit ribosomal RNA", at positions 28 to 507 of the family's 1533-position model. The record is from RNAcentral.